AACAAGGUUUCCGUAGGUGAACCUGCGGAAGGAUCAUUAAUGAAAUUUAUGAUCGGGGCUGUAGCUGGCCGUUUCAAAAACGGCAUGUGCACGCCCCUUUCACUAAUCCACACACACCUGUGCACCUAUGCGGGGGUUCCUGGGAGUUCGACGCAAGUCGUUAGUACCGGGGGCUCGCGUCCCUUUACACACCCUUUCGCAUGUCUUGAGAAUGUCUACUCGAUGUAAUAAAACGCAUCUAAUACAACUUUCAACAACGGAUCUCUUGGCUCUCGCAUCGAUGAAGAACGCAGCGAAAUGCGAUAAGUAAUGUGAAUUGCAGAAUUCAGUGAAUCAUCGAAUCUUUGAACGCACCUUGCGCCCUUUGGUAUUCCGAAGGGCACACCUGUUUGAGUGUCGUGAAAUUCUCAACCCUCUUCACUUUUUUUAGAGUGGGGCUAGGGCUUGGACUUGGAGGCUUUGCCGGCUCUACCCCGGCUCCUCUCAAACGCAUUAGUGCGUCUUGUUGCGACGUGCGCCUCGGUGUGAUAAUUAUCUACGCUGUGGUGCGCUUGCUUCUGUGGAGACGCGCUUUCAAACCGUCCGGAAGGACAGCUUUCAUCGAACUUUGACCUCAAAUCAGGUGGGACUACCCGCUGAACUUAAGCAUAUC
This 652-nucleotide ribosomal RNA is filed under the name Stereum cf. sanguinolentum BCC 22926. RNAcentral's name for it is "eukaryotic LSU rRNA". The stretch from base 246 to 399 matches the Rfam family "5.8S ribosomal RNA". The record is from RNAcentral. Lineage: Eukaryota; Fungi; Basidiomycota; Agaricomycetes; Russulales; Stereaceae.